RNAcentral lists this ribosomal RNA (679 nucleotides) under Phyllostachys nigra. RNAcentral describes it as "eukaryotic LSU rRNA". The stretch from base 266 to 421 matches the Rfam family "5.8S ribosomal RNA". The record is from RNAcentral. Lineage: Eukaryota; Viridiplantae; Streptophyta; Magnoliopsida; Poales; Poaceae.
GUAACAAGGUUUCCGUAGGUGAACCUGCGGAAGGAUCAUUGUCGUGACCCUAACCAAAACAGACCGCGCACGCGUCACCCAUGCCGCCGGGCGGCAGCCGCCGCCCGGCCUAGGCCCGGCCUCCCGCGAGGGAGGGCGGGCCGCAACAGAACCCACGGCGCCGACGGCGUCAAGGAACACUGUGCCUACCGACCGGGGGCGCGAACGGCCCGGCCAGCCGGCGCCGGUCGCCCCCCGCGUCGCAACGCUAUCUAAUAAUCCACACGACUCUCGGCAACGGAUAUCUCGGCUCUCGCAUCGAUGAAGAACGUAGCGAAAUGCGAUACCUGGUGUGAAUUGCAGAAUCCCGCGAACCAUCGAGUCUUUGAACGCAAGUUGCGCCCGAGGCCCUCGGGCCGAGGGCACGCCUGCCUGGGCGUCACGCCAAAAGACGCUCCCCACCCCCCCUCGGCGGGGCGGAGGACGCGGUGUCUGGCCCCCCGCGCCGCACGGCGCGGUGGGCCGAAGUUCGGGCUGCCGGCGCAGCGCGCCGGGCACAGCACAAGGUGGGCGAUCUCGCACUCUCUUACGUGCAGCGCCCCGGCGCGUAGCCGGCGCAGCGGCCCAGGGACCCAUCGACCGGAGCGCACGUCGCUCGGACCGCGACCCCAGGUCAGGCGGGACUACCCGCUGAGUUUAA